GUGGGGAAUAUUGGACAAUGGGCGAAAGCCUGAUCCAGCCAUGCCGCGUGAGUGAUGAAGGCCUUAGGGUUGUAAAGCUCUUUCAGUAGGGAAGAUAAUGACGGUACCUACAGAAGAAGCCCCGGCUAACUUCGUGCCAGCAGCCGCGGUAAAACGAAGGGGGCUAGCGUUGUUCGGAUUUACUGGGCGUAAAGCGCACGUAGGCGGAUUGGUCAGUUAGAGGUGAAAUCCUGGAGCUCAACUCCAGAACUGCCUUUAAUACUGCCAGUCUAGAGUCCAGAAGAGGUGAGUGGAACUCCUAGUGUAGAGGUGGAAUUCGUAGAUAUUAGGAAGAACACCAGUGGCGAAGGCGGCUCACUGGUCUGGUACUGACGCUGAGGUGCGAAAGCGUGGGGAGCAAACAGGAUUAGAUACCCUUGUAGUCC
This 425-nucleotide ribosomal RNA is filed under the name uncultured bacterium. Its description in RNAcentral is "partial 16S ribosomal RNA". It matches the Rfam family "Bacterial small subunit ribosomal RNA", at positions 354 to 796 of the family's 1533-position model. The record is from RNAcentral.